Molecule: ribosomal RNA, 643 nt
Filed under: Salmonella enterica subsp. enterica serovar Weltevreden
Lineage: Bacteria; Pseudomonadati; Pseudomonadota; Gammaproteobacteria; Enterobacterales; Enterobacteriaceae
Description: partial 23S ribosomal RNA
Rfam family: Bacterial large subunit ribosomal RNA
Source: RNAcentral
CAUUGAGCCUUGAUGUGUAGGAUAGGUGGGAGGCUUUGAAGUGUGGACGCCAGUCUGCAUGGAGCCGACCUUGAAAUACCACCCUUUAAUGUUUGAUGUUCUAACGUGGACCCGUGAUCCGGGUUGCGGACAGUGUCUGGUGGGUAGUUUGACUGGGGCGGUCUCCUCCUAAAGAGUAACGGAGGAGCACGAAGGUUGGCUAAUCCUGGUCGGACAUCAGGAGGUUAGUGCAAUGGCAUAAGCCAGCUUGACUGCGAGCGUGACGGCGCGAGCAGGUGCGAAAGCAGGUCAUAGUGAUCCGGUGGUUCUGAAUGGAAGGGCCAUCGCUCAACGGAUAAAAGGUACUCCGGGGAUAACAGGCUGAUACCGCCCAAGAGUUCAUAUCGACGGCGGUGUUUGGCACCUCGAUGUCGGCUCAUCACAUCCUGGGGCUGAAGUAGGUCCCAAGGGUAUGGCUGUUCGCCAUUUAAAGUGGUACGCGAGCUGGGUUUAGAACGUCGUGAGACAGUUCGGUCCCUAUCUGCCGUGGGCGCUGGAGAACUGAGGGGGGCUGCUCCUAGUACGAGAGGACCGGAGUGGACGCAUCACUGGUGUUCGGGUUGUCAUGCCAAUGGCACUGCCCGGUAGCUAAAUGCGGAAGAGA